This is a long non-coding RNA of Hibiscus syriacus, 497 nucleotides long. RefSeq lists it as uncharacterized. Lineage: Eukaryota; Viridiplantae; Streptophyta; Magnoliopsida; Malvales; Malvaceae. The record is from RefSeq and is a predicted model, not a curated record. The transcript is spliced from 5 exons.
AAAAAAAUCAACAGCGACAGGAAUUUGCUUUCUAAGAUAUUCGUUCUGGAUCCGAAAUUGAGACCCUGAGAUUUUGCAGUGUCGAGUUUCGGGAAAAAGAACCAAACUAGCAAUGGCGGCGUUUAUCAAGCUCGAAGAUUCUCCUAUGUUUCAAAAACAGGUAUGUUCUCUAGAGUCCAUGGCUGAUGAAUUGAAAGGUCGCUGUCAAAUGCUGACCCAAGGAAGUAUAACGUAUAGGAACAACAGCUCUUGGCUCUUGGAGAAGCAUAUAAUGCAGACAAUUGCUUUGCUGAUUCUUUAGAAGCAUUUGGUUGCGGACAAGAUGAUCCUAUUAGUGUGUCCAUAGGAGGGCCAGUUAUGUCCAAGUUCAUCAAUGCCUUUCGUGAGCUUGCUAGCUAUAAGGAGUUGCUUUGUUCACAAGUGGAGCAUGUUUUAAUUGAUCGGCUAAUGCACUUUACAACUGUUGAUUUGCAAGAUGCAAAGGUGAAGAUAAUUCA